Molecule: ribosomal RNA, 429 nt
Filed under: Peltogasterella gracilis
Lineage: Eukaryota; Metazoa; Arthropoda; Thecostraca; Peltogastridae
Description: partial 16S ribosomal RNA
Source: RNAcentral
AAAAACAUUUUUUUACGGAGAGUAAAAUAGGACCUGCUCACUGUUAAAAUAAAGAGCUGCAGUAUUUUAACUGUGCUAAGGUAGCAUAAUAAUUUGUUUUUUAAUUGAGAACUGGAAUGAAAGGUUUAACGAUAUUUUUGCUUUUUUAAUUGAUUAUUUUGAAUUUUAAUUUAAAGUGAAAAUUCUUUAGUGUUCUUAAAAGACGAGAAGACCCUUAGAAUUUAACUAUUUAUUUUAAAGAAAAUUUACUAUUAAGUUAUUUUGGGAGAUUUAGUUUGGCUGGGGCGGUUUGAGAGUAUUUAAUUAACCUUUUUUAAAUUUAACUUUUAUUAAGUAGGGUUUGACCUCUUUAGGGGAUUAGAGUUAAUUACCUUAGGGAUAACAGCGUAAUCUGAUUUUGGAGUUCAUAUUUAUAAUCAGGUUUGUGAC